CCUACGGUGGGCAGCAGUGAGGAAUAUUGGUCAAUGGGAGAGAUCCUGAACCAGCCAAGCCGCGUGCGGGAAGACGGCCCUCUGGGUUGUAAACCUCUUUUGUCGGAGAACAAAAUCCGGGACGUGUCCCGUACUGCGUGUAUCCGACGAAAAAGCAUCGGCUAACUCCGUGCCAGCAGCCGCGGUAAUACGGAGGAUGCGAGCGGUAUCCGGUUUUAUUGGGUUUAAAGGGUGCGUAGGCUGUCCGUUAAGUCAGCGGUAAAAUUGCGGGGCUCAACCCCGUCGAGCCGGUGAAACUGGCAGACUAGAGUUGGCGAGAGGUACGCGGAAUGCGCGGUGUAGCGGUGAAAGGCAUAGAUAGCGCGCAGAACUCCGAUUGCGAAGGCAGCGUACCGGCGCGAGACUGACGCUGAGGCACGAAAGCGUGGGGAUCGAACAGGAUUAGAUACCCGAGUAGUC
RNAcentral lists this ribosomal RNA (459 nucleotides) under uncultured bacterium. RNAcentral describes it as "partial 16S ribosomal RNA". It matches the Rfam family "Bacterial small subunit ribosomal RNA", at positions 338 to 795 of the family's 1533-position model. The record is from RNAcentral.